Molecule: small nuclear RNA, 22 nt
Filed under: Arabidopsis thaliana (thale cress)
Lineage: Eukaryota; Viridiplantae; Streptophyta; Magnoliopsida; Brassicales; Brassicaceae
Description: snRNA_11502
Source: RNAcentral
GGGUGCACCGCCGACCGACCUU